CACCUCUCAGGGCUGCACCUGGAGAGUUUCCAGUACUCUACCAGUCUCGGCUACUGGAGGGAGAGUCAAGCAGAGGCGUACUCAUUCCAUUCCUAACUUGGGCCAGUGAGUGGAAGGUAAUCUGCUACAAGU
Small nucleolar RNA from Tachyglossus aculeatus (Australian echidna), 132 nucleotides. The record is from RefSeq and is a predicted model, not a curated record. Lineage: Eukaryota; Metazoa; Chordata; Mammalia; Monotremata; Tachyglossidae.